This 1445-nucleotide ribosomal RNA is filed under the name uncultured bacterium. RNAcentral describes it as "bacterial SSU rRNA". It matches the Rfam family "Bacterial small subunit ribosomal RNA". The record is from RNAcentral.
GAUGAACGCUAGCGGCAGGCCUAACACAUGCAAGUCGAGGGGGAACAGGGGGCUUGCACCGCUGACGACCGGCGCACGGGGGUGCGUAACGCGUAUACAAUCUACCUUUUACAGAGAGAUACCCCAGAGAAAUUUGGAAUAAUACCUCAUAAUAUUUUUGCUCGGCAUCGAGUGAUAAUUAAAGUUUCGGCGGUAAAAGAUGAGUAUGCGUCCUAUUAGCUAGUUGGUAAGGUAACGGCUUACCAAGGCGACGAUAGGUAGGGGUCCUGAGAGGGAGAUCCCCCACACUGGUACUGAGACACGGACCAGACUCUUACGGGAGGCAGCAGUGAGGAAUAUUGGUCAAUGGUCGCAAGACUGAACCAGCCAUGCCGCGUGCAGGAUGAAGGUUCUAUGAAUCGUAAACUGCUUUUAUACACCAAGAAAAACACCCACGUGUGCGCAAAUGCCGGUAGGGUAUGAAUAAGCAUCGGCUAACUCCGUGCCAGCAGCCGCGGUAAUACGGAGGAUGCAAGCGUUAUCCGGAUUCAUUGGGUUUAAAGGGUGCGUAGGCGGAUCGUUAAGUCAGCGGUGAAAUACUGCCGCUUAACUGGAAAAUUGCCAUUGAUACUGUUUAUCUAGAGUAUGGUAGAGGUAGGUGGAAUGUGUUGUGUAGCGGUGAAAUGCAUAGAUAUGACACAGAACGCCGAUUGCGAAGGCAGCUUACUAAGCCAUUACUGACGCUGAGGCACGAAAGCGUGGGGAUCGAACAGGAUUAGAUACCCUGGUAGUCCACGCCGUAAACGAUGAUCACUCGCUGUUUGCGAUAUACAGCAAGCGGCUGAGCGAAAGCAUUAAGUGAUCCACCUGGGGAGUACGAUCGCAAGGUUGAAACUCAAAGGAAUUGACGGGGGCCCGCACAAGCGGAGGAACAUGUGGUUUAAUUCGAUGAUACGCGAGGAACCUUACCUGGGCUUAAAUGUAGGCUGCAUUCGGCUGAAAGGCUGAUUCCCUUCGGGGCUGCUUACAAGGUGCUGCAUGGUUGUCGUCAGCUCGUGCCGUGAGGUGUUGGGUUAAGUCCCGCAACGAGCGCAACCCCUGUUCUUAGUUAUUACCAAGUUAAGUUGGGGACUCUAAGGAGACUGCCGAUGAAACUCGUGAGGAAGGUGGGAUGACGUCAAAUCAGCGCGGCCCUUAUGUCCUGGGCUACACACGUGUUACAAUGGUCGGUACAAAGAGCAGCCACUUGGUGACAAGGCGCUAAUCUCAAAAGCCGAUCUCAGUUCGGAUCGAAGUCUGCAACUCGACUUCGUGAAGUUGGAUUCGCUAGUAAUCGCGCAUCAGCCAUGGCGCGGUGAAUACGUUCCCGGGCCUUGCACACACCGCCCGUCAAGCCAUGGAAGCUGGGGGUGCCUGAAGUCCGUAACCGCAAGGAGCGGCCUAGGGUAAAACUAGUAACUGGGGCU